CCAUAUGACACUGUUUGAGGCUGUGGAACCUUUUCAGUUUCUUGUAGUGCAUCUUUUCCUAGCCUUUGAUUCACAGUAAUUUUACAUGAUCACAUUGUUAGCCUUACCAACUGUGUGACUUUUCCUGUUUAAGACAGUAAGUUCUGCUACUAAAUAACUUGCUCCCUGGUCCUUUUCACUGAAUGUACCUGUUUCUUGUUUGUUUGUGUGUUUGUGUGUUUUUAACAAGAGUUACUGUUUGUUUUAAGAUUCUAAUAGCUGCUUAAAGUAAUCAGCAUCUUUACUUCUCGAAUACCUAUGACUUAUAUUUAAGGGUUUUUGUUUUGUUUGGGUUUUCUUUUUUUUUUUUUAUUGGAGCCAUUCCCACAUCUCUAAGUUGUUUGACAUAGCAGGGAUUGGCAAAUGACAGCCCAUGGGCCGAACCUCACCAGAGGCCUGCUUUGGUACAGCCCUCAGGGCUAAGAUUGGCUUUUACAUUUUUAAAGCAUUUAAACAAGCAGACAAAGACAAAGAAGAAUAUGUGACAGAGACUACAUGUGAUCUGAAAAACCUAAAAUAUUUGCCACCUGCCUCUUUACAGAAAAAUCUUGCUGGCCUCCUCACAUGGAUGAUUCUCAAUAAAAUAAGAAAAUUUGGAUAAUCAGCCUAUAGAAGCUCCUUGGUAAGGGUCUUUCAUCAUAAAGAUGGACUUUUUCUGUGUCCUUUGUUCCAAUCACACAGGAAAAUGACUCAGAAGGUUAUAAUUCAUCAUCACUACCCUUAUCAGGGUUAUCCCCAGGCCUAAAAUUUUCCUCUUCCAUCUCACAUCUCACCUUCAAAAAUUACCACAUUGGGUUAUCAAACAUGUUUAUAAAAUACAAACAUGAGUUAAGUGUAAAACAUAAGAGCAUAGUAAAAUUUAAAAAUCCCCCCAAACUCAUCAAUCACUGGAGAAAUCACUUUUAGUCUUUUUCAACCUAUGUUUUGCCAUGUUUGUAACCACAACAAAACUGGGGGCAGGAGGUGGGGCAGGGUGCAGCUGAGCCUUUAGAAUGAAAAUUAAAUUUCCCCUCAUUUUUAGUUAUACUAGCAAAGCUUGUUUGGUCCUGUGAGUCAUCCUGUAGUGCAUAAGGGGAGUUUAGGGGAAAUAGUUAGAGAAGGAAAAACUCAUGUCAUCCAUUUACCACCCCUCUCGUCUGUGCAAUAUAGCACUCAUCAGUUACCAGUAACCUCCCAUAGCUUGCAUCAUAAACCAAACUGGGCACAAACAAAUACAAUCCUAUUGCACACUGCCACAAUGGGGCUGAAAGACCCCGAAUGAAAUUGCUGACAUGUCUGCUUAGCCACUAUCUAUCCUCAAAGUAUGCAAACUUCGAAAGUUGAUGUCUAGGUUUUAAAUCAAAAUCUCUUACAAACCCCUAGUGAUGACAUAUUGAACUUUAAGGUUUUGUGGAAACCAAAUUGAGAAACAUUGGACCAGAGUCUCUGUAUUCCAAAAGAUUAUCUUUCAUUUGUAUAAUCUAAAACUCCCUUAAGUCUUAUUCUUCUCCAAAACUCAAAGAUCUACCCUUCUUCAAAGAUAAAUUUAAUAAUCACUGGCAGAAUUAAAACAGAUUGUUCUCACUCUCAGCCAUCAAUAUUUUGGAAAACAUCAAGUGCGGAAGUAAGCAUCGUGACUCUGUUACAGUAACAGCUCAAAUAUCCGGAAGAAUGUGGAUUAACAGAGUAAAACUUCUAUCAUAGGAAGUUUUGAACCAAGAGAAGAGGCUGGCACCAUGUUCAUUUAUCCUCUGCUGUUAUGCAAGCAUGACUGCAAAAAUAAACAGCUUUAAUCAGAAAUGCUAGCAUAUGUAGAAACAACAGAUUUAUAAAUAAAUGUUAUUUGUACAUUUCCUUUAUCAAGCCUCUGUGGUUUUUGCUUUUAGAGCUAGACAUGAUAAAACUUGGGUAUUGCUUUUCUCCACUCAACUCCCUCUUUGAUCUCUCCUCACUAGCAUUUCCCUGGCUUGGCCAGAUAAUUUUUUCCAGUUCACACAGUCUCCUUAGAGUCUCUCAGCCCAUUUGGGUCUCCAGCUCUAUAUCAUAUUUUUGCAGGAUAGUCUCAUGACAAAAUUUUUAUUUAAUCUUUACAAAUACCUCAUAGUGUGUGGCCAAUUGUAUUUUCAAAAAUGGCUAUGCCAGUAUAUCCCAA
RNAcentral lists this long non-coding RNA (2170 nucleotides) under Homo sapiens (human). RNAcentral describes it as "HSALNT0126959". Lineage: Eukaryota; Metazoa; Chordata; Mammalia; Primates; Hominidae. The record is from RNAcentral.